Molecule: small RNA, 426 nt
Filed under: Pan troglodytes (chimpanzee)
Lineage: Eukaryota; Metazoa; Chordata; Mammalia; Primates; Hominidae
Description: retained intron
Source: RNAcentral
GGCUCCUGGGCCUGGGCGUCGAGAUAGCUCUUGGCCCCGGCCUGCGGGGGCAGAUAAGGCUGCCGGAGGGAGCUAGUCACCGGCCGCAAGCAGAGCCCGGUGUGCUCCGCUUCCAACUGGGAGCGCCUUCCGCCACCCGGGGAGGGGGACUGCUGCAGCCACAGGGUGGGGCUCUUGGUUCUUUCCGCCUGACUCCUUCUCUUCUGCAGCCCCAAGGAGGCCCGCCUGACGACUGACCAGUUGCCAUGGCAUCCUACUACGAGAUCCUAGACGUGCCGCGAAGUGCGUCCGCUGAUGACAUCAAGAAGGCGUAUCGGCGCAAGGCUCUCCAGUGGCACCCAGACAAAAACCCAGAUAAUAAAGAGUUUGCUGAGAAGAAAUUUAAGGAGGUGGCCGAGGCAUAUGAAGUGCUGUCUGACAGUAAGG